RNAcentral lists this ribosomal RNA (251 nucleotides) under uncultured bacterium. RNAcentral describes it as "partial 16S ribosomal RNA". It matches the Rfam family "Bacterial small subunit ribosomal RNA", at positions 526 to 776 of the family's 1533-position model. The record is from RNAcentral.
CGAAGGGGGCUAGCGUUGUUCGGAAUUACUGGGCGUAAAGCGCGUGUAGGCGGUUGUUCAAGUCAGGGGUGAAAGCCUUGAGCUCAACUCAAGAAAUGCACUUGAUACUGGAUGACUAGAGGACCGGAGAGGAUAGUGGAAUUCCCAGUGUAGUGGUGAAAUACGUAGAGAUUGGGAAGAACACCAGUGGCGAAGGCGGCUAUCUGGACGGUUUCUGACGCUAAGACGCGAAAGCGUGGGGAGCAAACAGG